This 121-nucleotide non-coding RNA is filed under the name Andreesenella formicacetica. RNAcentral describes it as "Clostridium formicaceticum MoCo sequence". It matches the Rfam family "Molybdenum/Tungsten riboswitch aptamer (Moco RNA motif)". The record is from RNAcentral. Lineage: Bacteria; Bacillati; Bacillota; Clostridia; Peptostreptococcales; Natronincolaceae.
CAUAAUUUAUUUCUCCGAGUCAAAGGUUCUGUAGCUUUUAAAGCGAUGAACUUUUGACCAAUGGGUAUCACUGGAAACGGUUAUGCCUCCUAUUGUGGAAAGGUGAAAAAAGUACAAGUAC